AAUCUCCAAAGGGGUGGUCCGGUCUCCGGUGCCCCGGUGGUGUGAUAAGUCUCGAACUCUCGAAUUCUCGAUCCUCCUGUGUUCUCUGAUAUCUGGUAAGUGUGCGUGAAAGCACACGUGGCGAGAGUUUUGUAGCUCAAUACGUAAGUAUCACAUGUAAAAUGAAAUGUUGUCGAGAUUAAUAAAAUCCAGAGAAGUUAAAUUGGUCAAGAUUAUUCUAGUUGUCCUGAUUUCUGAGUUAAAAAGUUUCAAUUUUCUUUUAGUAAUUGAUUCUAUACAGCAGACUAUUAUAGAAUUUUGAGCUCAGCCUUAUGGGAAACCUGGAUUCUUUUGAUACUCAAUUUGACUUCCUGAAGUAAUAAAUAUGUAACUUACAUCAUUACCCUUUUCAAACUGGAUCAUAUUGAACACAUACACCUCUAACUAAUUUACAUGAAGUUCUCACAUGAUUGAUUGUCAGUUCUAAAUUUGAUAGCACAUUUGGAUAUCAAGUUAGAAUGUCGGGGAAGCAGUUACCUGUUAUUUCUUAGGCAACUGGCAAGGGAAUGCCAACCUAAGCACUUUUGGGGCAGUCUCUCAGACUGUCUUGCCCUUGCAUCAUGUGUAUCAUUUUACAUUUGUCUUUGCAAAGGUCUGAUUACCUCUUUGUUUACUUGGUUGAAGAGACUUGGCUCAUUUCUGGUUGGAAUUCUUUUUAAGUAUAAUGGGGCAAUUCAAUAACCACAAUCUGUUCUGGAAUUGGUAUGAUGGAAUUCUGAUAGAUGCUAAGUGAAGAAAAACCAAUAGCAUUGAUAGCUUAUAUGCCUGUUUGCAAAUGCUAACAAACUCAUUUUCAAAGAAGAGAAAAUAAGGCAUAUAAGAACAAAUAUUGUUGGGUUACCCUGGAAGGAAGGAUUUUGGUGUUUAAUCUUCUGUUGGAAUUUGGCAUGCUACUGACAGUCAACAUCUUCAUCUCUCACAGAACCAUAUCACUCAGCAAGCAAAAUCAGUUUGUGAGCUGAUGACAUCAGCUCUCACUGUAGAGGCGGAUCUUGGAAGUUCUCCAGAGCUUACGUCAGCCGUAAAAGUGUUAAAGUGAAAAGAAAAUGAGCCUUAGACACCUCACCACCUUGAAUCUUCUACCUGGGUUUAUCUACUAGCUAUUGGUGCAUUUCUUCAUUUACUGGAAGUGUUGAUAUUAGGAGGCAGAUAUUAUACGAUUUCAUGGAUUUGUCAAGUUACUUUCAACAACAGUCGACAUACGGGAAUAACGAUGAUAUUAGCACAAGUGAAUUUGCGCCCCGGUAUUUGCUGCUGAUCUUUCACACGUUCCCAGUCAACUAUUGAGGGCUUACGCCAAUUUAGUAUGUCCUCCACAUCAAAUGAAGAGGUCUAGCUGAACUGGAAUGGAUAUCCAAUCAUUUUUCGCCGACAAGUACUUUGACGACGACGGACUCUUCUUAGCUACCAUCACACUAGUUGCGACUUGCGACGGAUUCCGAGACAAACGCAAACCUUUUGCUCCACUUAGCCCAUAACAACCGACAGCAUUUAAGGAGCUCUAACAAGGACAGCUGCUCCGCUUCGCCGUGGAAUAACAGCUACAUGAAGACUGACCUGAGACAAGCUAGAGGUAUCCGCUAAACGUUGGCCGAAGAAACGAAAAACAGGAAAGUAGAAUGGUUUCUGAUCUUGUUUACGAUGAGAUUGAACGCAAUGCUGGUUGUGGCGGUGGCGAUUUCUGCCCGUGCAGCAACAACCAACAAAAUCAUUGUAACGAGGCCCGACGGUCUUGCAAUACGUGUCGAAUUUAAGCGACGAAGAUCGUUGUCGCUUGUCAGAACAGCAGUGACGUCAAUCGCGAAUAAUUUUGUUCCAAUAGUGACAGUCGGCCAUUGAUUUCCCUUUAGCAUCAGCAUCACAAUACGGCCAUCUUCACCACCAAUUAAGCAGCCAAAGCCAGCCGGGCGAUGGAGGACAUUGGCAUCCAAGUUUAAACCAAUUUCACACUGCCUCCCAACAUUCAUAUCCGUCACCCAUUCACAUGGGGUUUGAAGGGGCGCCGCGAUACAGCCAGCGACCAGGCCAGGAGCCGCACUUGAACAUGUACUCGUAUUAACAAGAAACGGGCCUGACUGCCCUCAGUUUGAAGAACGGUGAGCCCAUAUUUGUGGAUAGCGGCCUGGACUGGAACAGCAACAGAGUUCUGCCGUUCAAUUCGCGGAUUGCUGAACAUGUUUGCAAAAAGACGAGAAGACGAAAAGAAAAUAAUGAUCAAAAAUUAGGGGAAGAAUGUGUUGACUAUGAGAUGAUUACCCUUGAAAAGACUUUAUUUGCGCAUGUGAGUAAUCAGAGGCAAAAAGGAGAAAUUUUCUUUUUUUUUCUUACUUUUUCCAUUAGAAAGUGGGAAAGAAAGAAAACCCAUUUAGAAUUGACCGACGUGUUUUUUUAGUCAAAUUUUAUGUAUAUAUAAUUAUAUGUUAACUUAUAUAUUUAUGUGUGUCUAGAAAAGCAGAAUGUAUCAUCCGUCGCCCCUAAAUCUUCUCCUUUCCAAUUGAUUUCAUUAUUCCGUGUUGUAAUUGUGUCGGCUCCUGUCUACUACAAUUAUGUCGAUGAAGAAAUAGUACAGGCUGACCCUAAGUGCAACAAAAGUUUUAGCCACAAAUGUUUAUCAACUCGUCUUGCAACUAGUAGUUGAUAUUCUAGGUUUUUAAAUUGAAAAUUGGAAUCAACUGUUUGAGGCGGAAAAAAUAGAUUUCGUUAUCCCUGGCAGGCGGAGGGCGCUAACAUCUGCUAUCGUCAAAAUUGUCUAUUCCCUUACGGCAGCUCUCCACGUACCAAAGUAGACAGGAUAUUUAUUCUAAAUCCCACAAUGUCCUGAGUACGAAUCAUACUGAAUUGGAAUAGGAUUUUGACUGAGGCUGGGUGCCGAAACAAUGGAUGGUAAUUGGGAGCGCGAUUGGAAAUAUCCAUGUUUUAUUAACGUUGUCUCAUGUUACGGUAUUUUACUUAAGACAAAUUGAAGUGCAUAUAUGGGCUCCCUUCUUUUCUGAAGCCCCGUUUCCCCUUGACUCAUAAUAAGCCCGUAGGGGGUCAUGCCCCUACUGUACGGUAUAUAUAAAAACAACAUAUAUCGAGGU
This is a long non-coding RNA of Daphnia magna, 3119 nucleotides long. RefSeq lists it as uncharacterized. Lineage: Eukaryota; Metazoa; Arthropoda; Branchiopoda; Diplostraca; Daphniidae. The transcript has 10 exons. The record is from RefSeq and is a predicted model, not a curated record.